RNAcentral lists this ribosomal RNA (2535 nucleotides) under human oral metagenome. RNAcentral's name for it is "bacterial LSU rRNA". It matches the Rfam family "Bacterial large subunit ribosomal RNA", at positions 14 to 2554 of the family's 2925-position model. The record is from RNAcentral.
AGAGUAAAUGGUGGAUGCCUUGGCAGACAUAGGCGAUGAAAGACGUGCAAGACUGCGAUAAGUCUCGGGGAGUUGUCAAGAAACUUUGAUCCGGGAAUUUCUGAAUGGGGCAACCCAAUACAUAGUAAUAUGUAUUACCUAUUAUGGAGCGAACUUUGGGAACUGAAACAUCUCAGUACCAAAAGGAAAAGAAAUCAAAAGAGAUUAUGCUAGUAGCGGCGAGCGAACGCAUAACAGGGCAAACCGUCGGUUUACCGACGGGGUUGUAGGACUGCAAUAUAGACUAAAAAUUAGAUAGUAAAAUAAUCUGGAAAGAUUGAGCAUAGAGGGUGAUACUCCCGUAUAUUAAAUCAAUUUUUUACUUAGCAGUAUCCUGAGUAGGGCGAGGCACGUGAAACCUUGUCUGAAGCUGGGAAGACCACUUUCCAACCCUAAAUACUAAUGUCUGACCGAUAGCGUACAAGUACCGUGAGGGAAAGGUGAAAAGAACCGAGGUGAUCGGAGUGAAAUAGAACCUGAAACCAUUUACUUACAAUCAUUCAGAGCCCUAUGAUUUAUCAGGGUGAUGGACUGCCUUUUGCAUAAUGAGCCUGCGAGUUGUGGUGUCUGGCGAGGUUAAGGAAACCCGGAGCCGUAGCGAAAGCGAGUCUUAAUAGGGCGUUUAGUCAGAUGCUGCAGACCCGAAACGAUGUGAUCUAUCCAUGAGCAGGUUGAAACCGGUGUAAGAGCCGGUGGAGGACCGAACCCGCUAGCGUUGAAAAGCUAUGGGAUGACUUGUGGAUAGGGGUGAAAGGCCAAUCAAACAUCGUGAUAGCUGGUUCUCUCCGAAAUAUAUUUAGGUAUAGCGUCAUGUAGUAACACUAGGGGGUAGAGCACUGAAUGGGCUAGGGCAUACACCAAUGUACCAAACCCUAUCAAACUCCGAAUACCUAGUGUGUAAUCAUGGCAGUCAGGCGGCGAGUGAUAAAAUCCGUCGUCGAGAGGGGAACAACCCAGACUAACAGCUAAGGUCCCUAAAUCUCAUUUAAGUGGAAAACGAUGUGGAGUUACUUAAACAACCAGGAGGUUGGCUUAGAAGCAGCCAUCCUUUAAAGAAAGCGUAAUAGCUCACUGGUCUAGUGAUUCUGCGCGGAAAAUAUAACGGGGCUAAAAUGAGUACCGAAGCUUUAGACUUAGUUUUACUAAGUGGUAGGAGAGCGUUGCAUUCAGCGUCGAAGGUGUACCGGUAAGGAGCGCUGGAGCGAAUGCAAGUGAGCAUGCAGGCAUGAGUAGCGAUAAUUGGGGUGAGAAUCCCCAACGCCGUAAACCCAAGGUUUCCUACGCGAUGCUCGUCAUCGUAGGGUUAGCCGGGUCCUAAGCAAAGUCCGAAAGGGGUAUGCGAUGGAAAAUUGGUUAAUAUUCCAAUGCCAACUAUAAUGUGCGAUGGAAGGACGCUUAGAGUUAGAGGAGCCAGCGGAUGGUAGUGCUGGUCGAAAGGUGUAGGUUAAGAUCCAGGCAAAUCCGGAUCUUUUUAAGCCCAGACCCCACAGGCACACAAAGUUCUUCGGAACAGCGUGUGAAUCCUUGAUACUGUCGAGCCAAGAAAAGUUUCUAAGUUUAGUUAUAGUUGCCCGUACCGUAAACCGACACAGGUGGGUGGGAUGAGUAUUCUAAGGCGCGUGGAAGAACUCUCUUCAAGGAACUCUGCAAAAUAGCACCGUAUCUUCGGUAUAAGGUGUGCCUAACUUUGUGAAGGAUUUACUCCGUAAGCAUUGAAGGUUACAACAAAGAGUCCCUCCCGACUGUUUACCAAAAACACAGCACUCUGCUAACUCGUAAGAGGAUGUAUAGGGUGUGACGCCUGCCCGGUGCUCGAAGGUUAAUUGAUGACGUUAGCUCUGCGAAGCGUUUGAUCGAAGCCCGAGUAAACGGCGGCCGUAACUAUAACGGUCCUAAGGUAGCGAAAUUCCUUGUCGAUUAAAUAUCGACCUGCAUGAAUGGCGUAACGAGAUGGGAGCUGUCUCGAAGAGGGAUCCAGUGAAAUUGUAGUGGAGGUGAAAAUUCCUCCUACCCGCGGCAAGACGGAAAGACCCCGUGGACCUUUACUACAGCUUGACACUGCUAUUGGGAUAAAAAUGUGCAGGAUAGGUGGGAGGCUUUGAUCCAUAGACGCCAGUUUAUGGUGAGCCGUUGUUGAGAUACCACUCUUUUUUAUUCUGAUAGCUAACUAGCUUGAGUUAUCCUCAAGUAGGACAAUGUCUGGUGGGUAGUUUGACUGGGGCGGUCGCCUCCCAAAAUGUAACGGAGGCUUACAAAGGUUGGCUCAGAACGGUUGGAAAUCGUUCGCAGAGUAUAAAGGCAAAAGCCAGCUUAACUGCGAGACAUACACGUCAAGCAGGGACGAAAGUCGGUCUUAGUGAUCCGGUGGUUCUGUGUGGAAGGGCCAUCGCUCAAAGGAUAAAAGGUACCCCGGGGAUAACAGGCUGAUCUCCCCCAAGAGCUCACAUCGACGGGGAGGUUUGGCACCUCGAUGUCGGCUCAUCGCAUCCUGGGGCU